Nicotiana tabacum (common tobacco) is the source of this 1480-nucleotide long non-coding RNA. RefSeq lists it as uncharacterized. Lineage: Eukaryota; Viridiplantae; Streptophyta; Magnoliopsida; Solanales; Solanaceae. The record is from RefSeq and is a predicted model, not a curated record.
CCCCCCCCCCCCCCCCCCCCCCCCAAGUUGGAGGGGGAGGUACGAACCCCCAACUUGCCCAAAAGAUUCCAAUGAGUAGGACCUGUGAGAGGUUUGGUGAAUAGAUCGGCAAGCUGAGCAUCAGAUCGGAUAAAGGAAAGAGAGAUAAGACCAGCAAGAAAUUGUUGUCGCACAAAGUGACAAUCGAUUUCCACAUGCUUGGUUUGCUCAUGGAACACGGGGUUUUUGGCGAUAUGAAGUGCGGCUUGACUAUCGGAAUGAAGAGGAACAGGUAGGGAUGGACAAAUUUUCAAAGAGGCGAACCAACCAAGUAAGUUCAGCCACAACGCGAUGCAUGGAACGGUAUUCUGCCUCUGCUGAACUAAGAGAUAUAGAGGUUUGCUUCUUUGAUUUCCAAGAAAUUGGAGAAGAACCCAAGGAGAUAUAAAAACCACUGACUGAGCGACGGGAUUUAGGGCAGGUCCCCCAAUCGGAGUCACAAAAGGCAAGAAGCUGAAAUGAAGGUGAGGCAGACAUAAAAAGACCAAGACUAGGAUCUUUUAAAAGAUAACGGAGGACUCUAUGAGCAGCAUCAAGAUGUGGUUGGCGAGGGUCUUGCAUGUACUGACUAAGAUGUUGGACGGUGAAGGAGAGGUCGGGUCUGGUGUGGGUAAGGUAGUUAAGCUUACCCAGAAGAUGGCGAUAUAUGGUUGGGUCUUUUACAGGCUCCCCUGUUUUGGCAAACAAUUUGAUGGAAGAGUCAAGAGGUGAGGAGGCAGGAGAUAAAUGCAAGGAUUCAAAUCGUGCAACAAAUCGAGGGUGAAUUUCCGCUGUGAAAGAAUCAAUCCUUGAGGUUCUCGAAUGACCUCCAUGCCAAGAAAAAAAUGUCACUCCACAAGUCUUUUGCACUCUGAGAAUAGAGUACGCUUUCAGCUAUUUCUUUUGACAAGGAUUUCAACAGCCAAGAUAGGACCAUAUCAUUGCUACGAGCCCAAGCUUUUUGCAGUCCGGAAUCUGCCUCAGGGACAACUAGGGAUCCAUCAAUGAACCCUAGUUUGUUCUUAGUAGAGAGAACAAUCACAACAGCUCUCCUCCAACCUCCAUAGCCUUUGCCAUCAAAGACUGAAGAAACCAAGUUCAUCCUGGAUAAUCUAAGGGAUGAAGGUAAUAGGGGUGAGCUGAGUCAACAAUUCCUGCUGUGAGAGAAGCUGCAGGUGCAGUAACUCGCGUAGUGGAAGAAGAAUUAUCAGGGGUUUCAAUAGAACCCAUUGCUGAGUGAAUGAAGAAAGGAAAAUGAUGAAGAUUAUGUGAUAGAUUUUACCAUGUAGAAUUGAAGAAGAAAGCAACGUAUGAAAAUUUUCUUUCUGUGUAUUGAAUGAUCAGUGUUUGAUGUAUAUAUACAAAAAUAGGAAUCUAAGGUAAAACAGAAAAGCCAAGUGGCAUUAUACUAUUGACUAUGCUAUAACUAAUUAUAUUCUUUAUAGUAGAAUAGUACAUUACA